This 1332-nucleotide non-coding RNA is filed under the name Drosophila persimilis. Its description in RNAcentral is "Eukaryotic large subunit ribosomal RNA". It matches the Rfam family "Eukaryotic large subunit ribosomal RNA", at positions 1997 to 2796 of the family's 3401-position model. The record is from Rfam by way of RNAcentral. Lineage: Eukaryota; Metazoa; Arthropoda; Insecta; Diptera; Drosophilidae.
UGUGUAGUCAAUAACCUUAAGAGGAUUCUUGAGGAGAAGGGCCACACAUGUACACGUCGAACCAAGUUUGCAGCUGGAAACCUCGGUAAGUAAACCAGACCUGGUGUGUAUCCGUGACAAUCACGCUUGCGUGAUUGAUGCGCAGAUUAUAACGGAUGGACUGUUUCUCGACGAUGUGCACCAUCGCAAAGUUGAGAAAUAUAAAAGACCGGAAGUUAUAUCUGCACUGCGGAGAGAAUUCGGAGUGUCGGGCAACGUCGAAGUCCUAUCCGCGACGUUAAACUGGCGUGGGAUCUGGAGCAAUCAAUCCGUUAGAAGAUUGAUAGCAAAGGGUCUCAUCUCAUCCGGUGACAGCAAUGUCAUUAGCGCCAGAGUGGUAACAGGCGGACUAUAUUGCUUCAGACAGUUCAUGUAUCUCGCAGGUUACACUCGAGAUUGGACUUAGCCUAUACACUAUGUUGGAGAGAAGACGCUUGCUACCUAGGCAAAAUGUGAAAUUAGGUAUAAACAUCGUGGUUGUAAAACUUGAGGUGGGUUUUUAGUACGUAUGCGUGAUUACUUCGUAAUCAUGAAUCGUGCAUGCUAGUGGGGUUUGGCCUCCACUAGUAUCUUUGAAGAUUUUCCUUUCCUCAGCGAUCAAAAAAAAAAAAAAAAAAAAGGAAUAGCCAAAUGCCUCGUCAUCUAAUUAGUGACGCGCAUGAAUAGAUUAACGAGAUUCCUACUGUCCCUAUCUACUAUCUAGCGAAACCACAGCCAAGGGAACGGGCUUGGAAUAAUUAGCGGGGAAAGAAGACCCUUUUGAGCUUGACUCUAAUCUGGCAGUGUAAGGAGACAUAAGAGGUGUAGCAUAAGUGGGAGAUAUUAGAUUUCGGUUUGGUAUCGACAAUGAAAUACCACUACUCUUAUUGUUUCCUUACUUACUUGAUUAAAUGGAACGUGUAUCAUUUCCUAGCCAUUAUACGGAUAUAUUUAUUAUAUCUUAUGGUAUUGGGUUUUGAUGCAAGCUUCUUGAUCAAAGUAUCACGAGUUUGUUAUAUAAUCGCAAACAAAUUCUUUAAUGAGAAAAUGCAUUUAUGUAUUUUCAAUUUGAAAAUUUGGUAUAACUCCCAAUUACUCAGGUAUGAUCCAAUUCAAGGACAUUGCCAGGUAGGGAGUUUGACUGGGGCGGUACAUCUCUCAAAUAAUAACGGAGGUGUCCCAAGGUCCAGCUCAGUGCGGACAGAAACCACACAUAGAGCAAAAGGGCAAAUGCUGACUUGAUCUCGAUGUUCAGUACACACAGGGACAGCAAAAGCUCGGCCUAUCGAUCCUUUUGGUUUAAAGAGCUUUUAA